UUGGCCUACGGGGGGCAGCAGUGGGGAAUAUUGGGCAAUGGGCGCAAGCCUGACCCAGCAACGCCGCGUGAAGGAAGAAGGCUUUCGGGUUGUAAACUUCUUUUGUCAGGGACGAAGCAAGUGACGGUACCUGACGAAUAAGCCACGGCUAACUACGUGCCAGCAGCCGCGGUAAUACGUAGGGGGCAAGCGUUAUCCGGAUUUACUGGGUGUAAAGGGAGCGUAGACGGUACGCCAAGUCUGAAGUGAAAUGCCGCAGCUUAACUGCGGAACUGCUUUGGAAACUGGCGGGCUGGAGUGCGGGG
RNAcentral lists this ribosomal RNA (305 nucleotides) under uncultured bacterium. Its description in RNAcentral is "bacterial SSU rRNA". It matches the Rfam family "Bacterial small subunit ribosomal RNA", at positions 334 to 653 of the family's 1533-position model. The record is from RNAcentral.